Nothobranchius furzeri (turquoise killifish) is the source of this 6289-nucleotide RNA transcript. RefSeq lists it as uncharacterized. The record is from RefSeq and is a predicted model, not a curated record. NCBI's taxonomy places the organism in Eukaryota, Metazoa, Chordata, Actinopteri, Cyprinodontiformes, Nothobranchiidae.
UGUCGCAGUUAAAUGUGGUUAUUCAUUGUCAUUUGUUUGAUUUAACUGUGGAAAUAUUUAAUUUAAUUUCUUUGUUGAUUUGACGCCACCUGCUGGCUGGAUUGAAAUUUGACACUGGAAGGUGCGCGCGAGCGGAGCGAAUGAUUAACUGACACAAGCACGGAGAAGCGACCAGAAGAAGCUCACAUCGGAUAAAGAAAAGUGGACAUGGACUGAAAUUGCUUGUGAAUAUUAAGUGGAGAGGCGCACACGGUGUGUUUGUAUAUUUAUCUGUAUUGCAUUAAUAUCUGAGUUAUAAGUUUAUGUUUCUAAAAUUAAUAUUUGUGUUUAUUGUUGUUCAUUUCACCGUAGUUUUUCACGGUGUUUGCUGGUAACAAGAAGAUAAAGAACCAGUUGAACAUCAGUUGGAGCAUGGCGUUUUAUUCCACAAAAAACAAAAUAUCCUUCAUGAGCAGUUACAGUGAAAAACGUGUCCUGUUAAGAAGUACGCAGCCAGAGCCCUGCAUGCCAUGCUUUGAAGACGGCAGUCCACAGUCUGCGGCCCAAUCCGCAUGAAAUAAAGAGGGCCGAUACGACGUUUUGGGAAUUGAGCAGUUUUGCAGAGCCUUUCAACAUCAUACGAAACCAGGUCAGACUGUAUCUAUGAGUUAAAAAAAAACGGACAUUAACGGUGUAUGCUACAGACAUUGAAUGCUGUUUAAAAAACGGACAUUAACGGUGUAUGCUACAGACAUUGAAUGCUGUUUAAAAAACGGACAUUAACGGUGUAUGCUACAGAUAUUGAAAGUUGUUUAAAAACGGACAUUAACGGUGUAUGCUACAGAUAUUAUUGAAAGUUUGUUAAAAAGAAAAAAGGUUUGUUACUAUUUUACAGUUUGAAUUUGAAGUAGUGUUCUCAUGUUAAGUUUUCUUUCAUUGUUCUUAGCUGUUGGUUUAAAAUAUUGUUCACAAUGGAGCAGGGUGUACAAGAAACUCGUGUUUUAGAGGAAGUACUUGUAGCUUUAGAAUUUGAAAAGUUACAUUUAGAAAAGAAAUUAGAAACUGAAGUUGAAGAUGCAGAAAGAGAGGAAGUUGAAAUACGCUUAGGUGAAAUUUAUGCAGACCUUGAAAUACAUAAAAUAGGUUUGACUCAGCCAUCAUCCCAACCUGAGACAGAAGUGAGACGCUCAGAGCGUCAAAGAAAACUAACAGAAAAAAUGCGUGACUUUAAACAGUCUGAGAUAACAAGUAAAGAAAGAAAGUUUAUGUCAACAUAUGUAAACUUUAAAGCAGAGAUUCAACUCUCUAGGUCCAAACUUAAAAAGGAAUGUUCAAAAGCAGAGUUAACUGAAAUGAUCAAAUCAGUAGGAAAAUGUGAAUCUGACCUACAGCAAGAUUAUGUAGCUUUACGUACACUGACUACUCCAUCUCAAGAUUUCAGAAGAAAGAUGGAUAGCUGUUCUUCAGUUUCCACUGAAAUGAUGUUGCUUCUGAAAAGGCGCUAUGCAGAUGUUGAUAAGGAGUUUGAUGCAAUUGCUGUAAAAGACUCACUCCUUCAGUUGCUUCAGAGAGAAGAUGCUAAGUCAAUGUAUGGCUCAACUGUGUCUAGGGCUGAAAAAAGUAGCCAGAACAGUUAUAGUAAGCAAGGAAGUCAGGUAUCUGCAAAGAAAGCAGAGGCAGCUGCACGGUUGGCAUCUAAACGAGCUGAAAUAAGCAGGGAAAAGGAAAUUUCUGCCCAAAGAAAGGAGAUAUUAGCUCAACAAGAGAGAUUAAAAUUGUUGGAAAAGCAAAGAGAUCUUGAGGUUAUUGAGGCUGAAUACAAUGUGUAUGCUGAAGAGGAAUCAAAAUUGAAUGCUGAAAUAAGAAACAGUGAAGUAAAAGGUACUUUGUCUUUUAGUCAGCUUCCCAAACCUCUUAACAGUCCUCCAUACACCCAAGCUAUCCAGAGUACGGCACCUCCUAACUUUGAAGGUAUAACCAACAAGAUCCCAAAAUAUCUUCCAGUGCCCAAGUGUGAUACUAGAGUAGCGUCAAAAGAAAGUGAGUUAUCUCUAGUUCAAGCUUUAAAGGAGUCUUUAGCAAUGACUAGACUUCCAAUACCAGAGCCAUUUACCUUUACAGGAGACCCACUGAAGUUUACUGAGUGGAGCACUUGCUUCAAGGCUCUUAUUGAGACUAGUUGCACAAAUUCAGCCCAUAAACUUUUCUACUUGAAGAAAUACAUUAAUGGAGAAGCUCUUGGUGUUUUAGAAGGGACAUUCUAUCGCAGUGAUGAGGAAGCUUACAACCAAGCUUGGGAUGCUCUGAACAACCGUUAUGGCCACCCAUUUGUAGUUCAAAGAGCUUUUCGGGGAAAGCUAAGCAGUUGGCCAAAGAUCGGACCAAAAGAGUCACUAAAGCUGAGAGAGUUUAGUGAUUUCCUUGUUUCCUGUAAGAAUGCUAUGCCCCAUGUUCAGGGCCUCAAAGUGUUGGAUGAUUGUGAGGAGAAUCAAAAAUUAUUACUGAAACUUCCUGAUUGGGCAACAACCCGCUGGAACCGUCAUGUGUCAAAACUGUUAGAUGAAGGAAAGGAAUAUCCAGGUUUCACAGAGUUUGCUGACUUUGUGGCAGAAGAAGCACGAAUAGCAUGCAAUCCAGUUUCUUCUUUGUUUGCCUUAAAGAACACAUUUGAAAAACCUGAAAAGGAACAAAAACGUCAGAAAGCCAGUGUCCUGAUGACAACAACGAAUGUGUCUACAAAUGAAAAGGCCACAGCUGCAACACAGAUCAACAAAAAAUCCAAACCCAACCUUUCCUCAACUCAGAAUAAAAGGCAAAUUGAAUGCAUCUGCUGCAGGCAAAAUCACUUUAUUUACAAAUGUGACAAGUUUACAGCAAUGUCUCUUGAAGAAAAGAAGCAGUUCAUUAUCGACAACAAUAUGUGCUUUGGUUGUCUUCGUGUUGGUCACAUAUCCAAGAACUGUCAACAAAGAGUAACAUGUAAUGUUUGUAAGCGGAAGCACCCUUCUCCUCUUCAUGAAGAUCAUCCACAACCAGAUAAGCCUGAGAUGUUACCGAAAGAGGAAAAUGCAGCCACUGUAUCAUGCAGUGUGAAAUUGGACAACAGUGAUUGCACUUCAAUGAUUGUCCCAGUUUGGCUUUCUUCUUCAACAAAUAGACCAGAAACAUUGGUUUAUGCUUUGCUAGACACCCAAAGCAGCAAUACAUUUAUUGAUCAAAAUGUUUGUGAAAAAUUACAAGCAAGAACAGGACCCGUUAAAUUAAAGCUGACAACCAUAACUGACAGGUGUUCUAUUGUGCCUAGUCAAAGAGUGGAAGGACUGAGAGUUAGAGGGUACCACUCACAAGAGUAUAUUGAGUUGCCACCUACAUAUACUCGAGAAUACAUUCCACUUGAGAAAAACAGUAUUCCAACUCGAGAGACUGCAAAAAAAUGGCCCCACCUACUCAGCAUUGCAAAUGAAAUGCCAGAUCUCUUGGACUGUCCUGUAGCUCUCCUCAUUGGUUAUGACUGUACAAGAGCUCUAAAACCAAGGAAGGUCAUACCAGGAGAGGAUUAUGAUCCCUAUGCAGUUAAAACAGACUUGGGAUGGAGCAUUGUGGGACCCAUUAAGCCAUGGACAGGUUCAGUGGGCGCAACUGGGACCUGCCAUCGUGUAAUAGUAAAGGAAUUGCCAUCUAUUACACCUGCAUCUGUGAUUAAAGCACUUGAAGCUGAUUUUCUGGACACUAACCCCAAAGAAGGGAACAUAUCUCAAGAGGACAUUCAGUUUUUAGAGAUGCUAAAUGAAAACAUUCACUACAAUGAGCAAGGUCAUUUAGAAAUGCCUUUACCUUUUAAAGAACGUCCACAGCUUCCAAAUAACAAGCAGCUUGCAACAGUUCGUCUGAAAUAUUUGAAAAUGAAAAUGGACAAGAACCCCAAGUACAAAGAAGAUUACAUAAAGUUCAUGAAUAAUGUGUUUAAAGAUGGUGAUGCAGAGGAAGCAGAAGAAACACCACAGGAUGGUAACACAUGGUACAUUCCACACCACGGUGUGUAUCACCCCAGAAAGCCAGAAAAAAUUAGAGUUGUUUUUGACUGCUCUGCUAAACAUGAAGACACCUCUUUAAAUGACCACUUACUUACAGGCCCAGACUUGAUCAAUACUCUGGCAGGAGUAUUGUGCAGAUUCCGAGAGAACAGAAUCGCAAUAAUGUGCGAUGUGGAGAAAAUGUUUCACCGCUUCCAUGUUAAUCCAGAGGAUCGAGAUUUCUUAAGGUUUUUGUGGUGGAAGGAUGGAAAUACAAAUACUGAGCCAAAGGAAUAUCGCAUGCGAGUGCAUGUAUUUGGUACAGCGUCAUCGCCUGGAUGUGCUAACUUUGGCAUGAAACAUCUCGCCAGAAGAAACGAAAAGGACUACCCACUGGCAGCCAGUUUCAUUCACAAAAACUUUUAUGUGGAUGAUGGGCUUCUCAGUGUUGAAACAGAUAAGAAAGCCAAGCAGCUAGUCUGUGAAGCACUCAAACUCUGUGUUAAAGGGAAGUUGCGUUUGCACAAAUUUGUGUGCAACAACAAAGAGGUCAUGAGUGUUAUUCCUGAAAGUGAACGAGCUGGCAACACUACGGAUGUAAACAUGAACUACUCUGAAGUUCCAAUGAAAAGUGUGCUGGGAGUAAAAUGGAAUGUGGAAGCCGAUGUGUUCACAUUCAGUGGAGCCCUCAAAGAAAGGCCAGCCACACGCCGAGGAAUUCUAGCAACAGUAGCAAGUGUGUAUGACCCGUUAGGAUUUCUUUCACCCUACACUUUGAUAGGAAAACAAGUACUCCAGGAAAUGUGCAAAAGUGGAGUUGGAUGGGAUGAACCUGUUCCUUCCGCACUGGAAACCAAGUGGAAAGCUUGGCUCUGUGACUUGGAAAAUCUUCGAAAGGUCGAAAUACCUAGAUGCCUCUUUCCUGAGAACCUAGGCAAAAUCAAAAGGGUUGAGCUGCAUCAUUUUUCUGAUGCUAGCAGCAGUGGCUAUGGACAAUGCUCAUACAUUAGGUUUGUUACAGAUGAACAAGUGCAUUGUGCUCUAGUUAUGGGUAAAGCCAGAGUGGCACCUAUAAAAAUAGUCACAAUCCCGCGCCUCGAGCUCACUGCAGCUGCAGUUUCUGCUUUUGUUAGUAACUUUCUUAGAGCAGAGCUUGAGCGGAAAAUCGACGAGGAGUUUUUCUGGACAGAUUCUCAAGUGACUCUUGGGUACAUAAAAAACGAUGCUCGUCGCUUUCAUGUGUUUGUUGCAAAUCGAGUUCAAAAAAUAAGAGACACUACAGACCCAAACCAAUGGUUUUACAUUAAAGCUGAUCAAAAUCCAGCUGACCACGCAUCUAGAGGCCUCAAGGUGGCAGAGCUAAUAAACUCAAACUGGCUCACUGGACCUAAAUUCCCUUGGGAAAGAGAAAUUAUCACGAACCAACAAUCUCCAGAACUUCUUGUUGGUGACCCAGAGGUAAAAGUUCUUAAAACAGAUGCUAUUGAGCAAGACAGGUUUCUUGAGAGGUUCAUGAAAUGCUCUGAUUGGAUCACAGCACUUAAUGUGGUAGCAAGGAUUAAAAGUCUUGCAAAAAGAGACAAAUCAGGAGCCAUCAGUGUGAAAGAAAGACAAAUGGCUGCUUCUGUACUCUUCCAGCUAGCACAGAAGGAAGCUUUUGAAGAGGAACUCAGAUGGUUUAGUGAGAAAGGUUAAGAUCCAAGUAGGUCAAAGAGAUUUAGGGAACAAAGGUGAACGUCUGAGACAACUAUCUUUUCUGGAGAGACCUGUUCAAAAACUAGUGGUUUUGGUUAAAAGUGAGUCCUAAACUACAGUAAAGUACAAAAUUUGAUACAACAUUAAAAUGUGAUAUUUGAGUUUAUCAAGUUACUGAUUUCUGUGUGUUUCAUAACAAAGGUUUAUGGUUGAUAGUUAUUUUAUUGAAAAUUACAAGAUUUAAAGUUCUUUAAUGUGUAGUGAAUUUCAAUCAUUGUAAUUUUGGUGGCAGUGUAGCUGUCGCAGUUAAAUGUGGUUAUUCAUUGUCAUUUGUUUGAUUUAACUGUGGAAAUAUUUAAUUUAAUUUCUUUGUUGAUUUGACGCCACCUGCUGGCUGGAUUGAAAUUUGACACUGGAAGGUGCGCGCGAGCGGAGCGAAUGAUUAACUGACACAAGCACGGAGAAGCGACCAGAAGAAGCUCACAUCGGAUAAAGAAAAGUGGACAUGGACUGAAAUUGCUUGUGAAUAUUAAGUGGAGAGGCGCACACGUUUUUCACGGUGUUUGCUGGUAACAAGAAGAUAAAGAACCAGUUGAACAUCA